ACGACCAUAUAAACACCGUAUAAACACCAGUUCUCCUACGAUCACCGAAGUAAAGCAACGUCGAGUCUGGUCAGCACCUAGAUGGGUAACCGCUUGGGAAUAUUAGUUGCUGUAUG
Molecule: non-coding RNA, 116 nt
Organism: Acanthosepion pharaonis
Lineage: Eukaryota; Metazoa; Mollusca; Cephalopoda; Sepiida; Sepiidae
Source: the annotation of a GenBank genome assembly